This 332-nucleotide long non-coding RNA is filed under the name Lotus japonicus. Its description in RNAcentral is "long non-coding RNA (LJAP_LNC001543)". Lineage: Eukaryota; Viridiplantae; Streptophyta; Magnoliopsida; Fabales; Fabaceae. The record is from RNAcentral.
UAAGAUGGCUUCUUAUUUCUUAUCCUUGCUAGUUGUGUUCCUUGCAGCUCUGAUCCUCAUCCCUCAAGGGUUUAAUGCUGAGGAGGAUUUCUACAAACACCCAAAGUAUGGACAUCAGCCUAUCUACAAGAAGCCACCACAUUACAAGUCACCUGUUUACAAGCCACCCUACAAGAAGCCACCAUACAAGAAGUACCCUCCUUAUGGUAAGCACCCUCCAGUUGAAGACAACACCCAUUUCUAGAACUUGCAAGGAGACAUGUUUGACUUAUAUGUAUUAAAUAAGUGGUCUCGUACCACUGCUUCAAUUCUACUAUCCUAAUUUGCUAAAG